Molecule: ribosomal RNA, 422 nt
Filed under: uncultured prokaryote
Description: bacterial SSU rRNA
Rfam family: Bacterial small subunit ribosomal RNA
Source: RNAcentral
UGAGGAAUAUUGGUCAAUGGGCGCAAGCCUGAACCAGCCAUCCCGCGUGAAGGAAGAAUGCCCUAUGGGUUGUAAACUUCUUUUCCGGAGGAAUAAAAUCCCGAACGAGUCUGGGACUGAAGGUACUCCGGUAAUAAGCAUCGGCUAACUCCGUGCCAGCAGCCGCGGUAAUCCGGACGAUGCGAGCGUUAUCCGGAUUUAUUGGGUUUAAAGGGUGCGUAGGCGGAUUAAUACGUCAGUGGUGAAAACCUGCAGCUUAACUGUAGGCUUGCCAUUGAUACUGUUAGUCUUGAGUACGGUCAAGGUAGGCGGAAUGUGUAAUGUAGCGGUGAAAUGCUUAGAUAUUACACAGAACAACGAUUGCGAAGGCAGCUUACUGGGCCGUAACUGACGCUGAUGCACGAAAGCGUGGGGAGCGAACA